GCCCAGCCGUAAACUUUUACUUACAUUGAAUCGCCAGGGAACUACGAGCUAAGCUUAAAACCCAAAGGACUUGACGGUACCCCAUAUCCCCCUAGAGGAGCCUGUCCUAUAAUCGAUAAUCCACGUUAAACCUCACCACUUUUAGUUACUCAGCCUGUAUACCUCCGUCGUCAGCUUACCACGUGAGCGCUAAUUAGUGAGCUUAAUGUAUAUUCACCAACACGUCAGGUCAAGGUGCAGCAAAUGAAGUGGAAAGAGAUGGGCUACACUUUCUAAAUUAGAAGAAACGAAAAACUAUCUAUGAAACCUAGUUAGAAGGCGGAUUUAGCAGUAAAAAGGAAUCAGCACGUCCAUUUUAACCCGGCACUGGGGUGUGU
This 377-nucleotide ribosomal RNA is filed under the name Bufo gargarizans (Asiatic toad). Its description in RNAcentral is "partial 12S ribosomal RNA". It matches the Rfam family "Bacterial small subunit ribosomal RNA", at positions 794 to 1384 of the family's 1533-position model. Lineage: Eukaryota; Metazoa; Chordata; Amphibia; Anura; Bufonidae. The record is from RNAcentral.